RNAcentral lists this ribosomal RNA (468 nucleotides) under uncultured bacterium. Its description in RNAcentral is "partial 16S ribosomal RNA". It matches the Rfam family "Bacterial small subunit ribosomal RNA", at positions 28 to 507 of the family's 1533-position model. The record is from RNAcentral.
GACGAACGCUGGCGGCGUGCUUAACACAUGCAAGUCGAACGGAAAGGCCCUGCUUUUGUGGGGUGCUCGAGUGGCGAACGGGUGAGUAACACGUGAGUAACCUGCCCUUGACUGUGGGAUAACUUCAGGAAACUGGGGCUAAUACCGGAUAGGAGCUCCUGCUGCAUGGUGGUGGUUGGAAAGGUUCGGCGGUUGGGGAUAGACUCGCGGGUUAUCAACUUGUUGGUGGGGUAGUGGCUUACCAAGGCUUUGACGGGUAGCCGGCCUGAGAGGGUGACCGGCCACAUUGGGACUGAGAUACGGACCAGACUGCUACGGGCGGCAGCAGUGGGGAAUAAUGCACGAUGGGCGGAAGCAUCACGCAGCAAGGCCGCGUGCGGGAUGAAGGCCUUCGGGUUGUAAACCGCUUUCGCCUGUGACGAAGCGUGAGUGACGGUAAUGGGUAAAGAAGCACCGGCUAACUACGUG